RNAcentral lists this ribosomal RNA (442 nucleotides) under uncultured bacterium. Its description in RNAcentral is "partial 16S ribosomal RNA". It matches the Rfam family "Bacterial small subunit ribosomal RNA", at positions 338 to 795 of the family's 1533-position model. The record is from RNAcentral.
CCUACGGGUGGCAGCAGUGGGGAAUAUUGGGCAAUGGGCGCAAGCCUGACCCAGCAACGCCGCGUGAAGGAAGACGGCUUUCGGGUUGUAAACUUCUGUUAAGGGGGAAGCGCAGACGACGGUACCCCUUGAAUAAGCCACGGCUAACUACGUGCCAGCAGCCGCGGUACUACGUAGGUGGCAAGCGUUGCCCGGAUUUACUGGGUGUAAAGGGCGUGCAGCCGGAGAGACAAGUCAGAUGGGAAAUCCACGGGCUCAACCCGUGAACUGCAUUUGAAACUGUUUACCUUGAGGGUCGGAGAGGUAAUCGGAAUUCCUUGUGUAGCGGUGAAAUGCGUAGAUAUAAGGAAGAACACCAGGGGCGAAGGCGGAUUACUGGACGAUAACUGACGGUGAGGCGCGAAAGCGUGGGGAGCAAACAGGAUUAGAUACCCGGGUAGUC